RNAcentral lists this long non-coding RNA (410 nucleotides) under Ananas comosus (pineapple). RNAcentral's name for it is "long non-coding RNA (ACOM_LNC013196)". The record is from RNAcentral. Lineage: Eukaryota; Viridiplantae; Streptophyta; Magnoliopsida; Poales; Bromeliaceae.
AAGGGUUUUAAAUUUUAUAAUUUUAAUAGUCGAUAUGAGAUAUUUUCUCGUUUAACAGUGUAAAGAUAUCUAAAUUGAUUGAAUUUUGGUUAGAAAUUUUUUUUAACUAUUUAGAACAAGAUCUAUACUCUUGAUAUAGAUUACAAGAUUUUUAUUAUCACUUUUUAAAGAAUAUUCAUUUUCAACUGUUCAUUUUGUGUCCGCUUGAUGGAUAAGAGAACAAUAUCGAAAAAAUAUGAAAUUUGGUUUCUAAAUGCUUCAAGUGAUAUAAAUCAUGUUUAACGGUGCCGAUCGUCGAUUUUGAGACUCAUCAUAAAAAACAAAUGGAUGGUAACGAAGCCCAUUUGCUACUGAUAGCAUUCCAGCUCAACUUUAUAUAUAUGUAUAUAUAUGUAUACACGCGUGCGCGC